GUGGGGAAUUUUGGACAAUGGGCGCAAGCCUGAUCCAGCAAUGCCGCGUGCAGGAAGAAGGCCUUCGGGUUGUAAACUGCUUUUGUACGGAACGAAACGGUCCUGGCUAAUAUCCGGGGCUAAUGACGGUACCAUAAGAAUAAGCACCGGCUAACUACGUGCCAGCAGCCGCGGUAAUACGUAGGGUGCGAGCGUUAAUCGGAAUUACUGGGCGUAAAGCGUACGCAGGCGGUGCUGUAAGACAGGCGUGAAAUCCCCGGGCUCAACCUGGGAAUUGCGCUUGUGACUGCAGUGCUGGAGUGCGGCAGAGGGGGAUGGAAUUCCGCGUGUAGCAGUGAAAUGCGUAGAUAUGCGGAGGAACACCGAUGGCGAAGGCAAUCCCCUGGGCCUGCACUGACGCUCAUGCACGAAAGCGUGGGGAGCAAACAGGAUUAGAAACCCCGGUAGUCC
Molecule: ribosomal RNA, 450 nt
Filed under: uncultured bacterium
Lineage: Bacteria
Description: partial 16S ribosomal RNA
Rfam family: Bacterial small subunit ribosomal RNA
Source: RNAcentral